Molecule: non-coding RNA, 1712 nt
Organism: Heterocephalus glaber (naked mole-rat)
Lineage: Eukaryota; Metazoa; Chordata; Mammalia; Rodentia; Bathyergidae
Source: RefSeq, a predicted model, not a curated record
ACUCCAUGAGGCUCAACAGAGGGAAACCACUAGGCAAGACAAAUGAGAAGAUGCAAGCAAAAAAGGAAAAAAAAGUGCUGUCAUCUUGCAGCCCAGAGAUAAUCACCCUAGAGUUUUGACAUGUUACUUGCCAGUCCUAUGCGUGAGUGGGAAUGUGCGGGUCUCUAUCAUUCUGUUUUAUACAAAUGCUGUCUUCUGGUUCUAUAAUCUGCUUUGGAUGCUUAAACAGAUAUCCAGAUUCUUCUUCUUGGUCACUUUUCAUCUUUAUUCUCAGCCUCUAUCUAUAUUGUGUAUCACCAGGGAUGUGAAGAAAGCUUCUAGAAUUCUAGCUUCUAGAAUUUUCUGUCAUAUGGGCAGCUCCAGGAAAUGAGCUUAUAGAGACCUCUCCACCCAAGCCUGGUCAGGAAAUGUCCCCCAGUUACCCUUCAAGGAAGGCUGCCCUUCCUCUGAGGUGGGGGUGAAGCAGACAGUCAGGAGUUUUCCUUCUGUGUUGAGCAUCAAGAGCUGAAGGUGACAAGAUGUGAUCAUUAUCCCUCUGAAGAGUCCCAUUGGUCCUUUGAACCAGGAGUCCUGCAGAGUGGCCUCAUGGGAUAUCCGCUUGGGGAACACUAUGUGGAUUGUCUCAGCCGGCGCUGCAUCUUGAGGCCAGCAAAGGUGGACACCGUGCCAUGCUGAGGACUGCAGACCAGAUGCAGGCAGGUUCCCAAUGCUGGGCCCAAGAGAGUCCUGUUGAGAGUGUCACUUAAGACCUUGUGACCUCUGUGCAGACCACAUUUUGCAGUAAACCAAUGAGGAGGAAACUGGGAAUAUCAUUUGAGAGAAUAAAUUUAAGAGCAAGCAAUGGCCAGAGCAGAUAUGAAAAACAGAGCUCUGACUCACAAUCUGCAGCAAGCAGCUGCACACAAUCCUGUCACUGUCAGGAGCUAGUCCAGGGAGCCAGCCUUGUAGAAGGUCUAGUGACAAUCCCGGAAGCCCAAUCACAACAAUAACCUGAAACAAUCACCCACAGUGGCAAGAAUUUGGUUAACAACUGACAGCUUCCUAAUUUUUGUCCCUGCUCCCAAUUUAGGGCCACCUAGAGAACGCCAAGUGUGUUCUCCUGAACUAAUCACAUAGGAUGCUUCACUUCUGGUCAGCCAUAUCCCAGAGUCUCCAGGGCAACAGCCUCCAAUCACAGCACCCCAGAAACAUCUCUUUUUCCACCAAUCUCUCUCCCUCUCCUGCCUGCCAUCAAAUCUUGCCAAGUACAAAUGCUAGAAGCAAACUCUUUUGUUAGAGCAAGCUCAGCACAAGUGACUUUUGCCUUCUUAUUUGGGUGAUCUUCAUUUAUUUCCAUCCCUUCUUCUUGUUGGUACUCCACAUCAGCCAAACUCAGAAGCCAACAGGCAAGGGUGACAUUGAUGAGUCCACAAAGGAGUCAUGUGGGUGGAUUACACCUGUGGUCCAUGCUAUUGGGGACGCUGAGGCAGGGGGAUCAGUUGGGCCCAGGAGUUUAGGACUAGUCUCUGCAGCACAGUAAGACUGCUUCAGAAACAAACAAACGGCAACAAAAAGAUCCAUGUCCAAGUGUCCCUUGGAAAAUCUUUUUAGAUCCUCAAGGAAUAAGAUGCUCACGAUAUUUCAACUGGGUUUUUUUUGGGGGGGGUGUUGUUUUUGUUUUUACUAGGUGAUAUAGUCACAUUGUGGCAAAUAAAAUCAAAACAACAUAAAAA